RNAcentral lists this small RNA (1146 nucleotides) under Akanthomyces attenuatus. RNAcentral's name for it is "eukaryotic LSU rRNA". The stretch from base 534 to 1146 matches the Rfam family "Eukaryotic large subunit ribosomal RNA", at positions 1 to 639 of the family's 3401-position model. Lineage: Eukaryota; Fungi; Ascomycota; Sordariomycetes; Hypocreales; Cordycipitaceae. The record is from RNAcentral.
UCUCCGUUGGUGAACCAGCGGAGGGAUCAUUAUCGAGUUUACAACUCCCAAACCCUUAUGUGAACAUACCUACUGUUGCUUCGGCGGACUCGCCCCGGCGUCCGGACGGCCUCGCGCCGCCCGCGGCCCGGACCCAGGCGGCCGCCGGAGACCCCCAAACUCUGUAUUAUCAGCAUUUUCUGAAUCCGCCGCAAGGCAAAACAAAUGAAUCAAAACUUUCAACAACGGAUCUCUUGGUUCUGGCAUCGAUGAAGAACGCAGCGAAAUGCGAUAAGUAAUGUGAAUUGCAGAAUUCAGUGAAUCAUCGAAUCUUUGAACGCACAUUGCGCCCGCCAGCAUUCUGGCGGGCAUGCCUGUUCGAGCGUCAUUUCAACCCUCGACUUCCCUUUGGGGAAAUCGGCGUUGGGGAACGGCAGCAUACCGCCGGCCCCGAAAUGAAGUGGCGGCCCGUCCGCGGCGACCUCUGCGUAGUAAUCCAACUCGCACCGGAACCCCGACGUGGCCACGCCGUAAAACACCCAACUUCUGAACGUUGACCUCGGAUCAGGUAGGAAUACCCGCUGAACUUAAGCAUAUCAAUAAGCGGAGGAAAAGAAACCAACAGGGAUUGCCCCAGUAACGGCGAGUGAAGCGGCAACAGCUCAAAUUUGAAAUCUGGCCCUUGGGUCCGAGUUGUAAUUUGUAGAGGAUGCUUUUGGCGAGGUGCCUUCCGAGUUCCCUGGAACGGGACGCCAUAGAGGGUGAGAGCCCCGUCUGGUCGGACACCGAGCCUCUGUAAAGCUCCUUCGACGAGUCGAGUAGUUUGGGAAUGCUGCUCAAAAUGGGAGGUAUAUGUCUUCUAAAGCUAAAUAUUGGCCAGAGACCGAUAGCGCACAAGUAGAGUGAUCGAAAGAUGAAAAGCACUUUGAAAAGAGGGUUAAAAAGUACGUGAAAUUGUUGAAAGGGAAGCGCCUAUGACCAGACUUGGGCCCGGUGAAUCAUCCAGCGUUCUCGCUGGUGCACUUUGCCGGGCACAGGCCAGCAUCAGUUUGGCGCGGGGGAAAAAGGCUUUGGGAAUGUGGCUCCCUCGGGAGUGUUAUAGCCCAUUGUGUAAUACCCUGCGCCGGACUGAGGUACGCGCAUUGCAAGGAUGCUGGCGUAAUGGUC